GAUGAACGCUAGCUACAGGCUUAACACAUGCAAGUCGAGGGGAAACGAUAUUGGAAGCUUGCUUCCGAUAGGCGUCGACCGGCGCACGGGUGAGUAACGCGUAUCCAACCUGCCCACCACUUGGGGAUAACCUUGCGAAAGUAAGACUAAUACCCAUUGAUAUCUCAAGAAGACAUCUGAAUGAGAUUAAAGAUUUAUCGGUGAUGGAUGGGGAUGCGUCUGAUUAGCUUGUUGGCGGGGUAACGGCCCACCAAGGCGACGAUCAGUAGGGGUUCUGAGAGGAAGGUCCCCCACAUUGGAACUGAGACACGGUCCAAACUCCUACGGGAGGCAGCAGUGAGGAAUAUUGGUCAAUGUGCGAGAGCUUGAACCAGCCAAGUAGCGUGCAGGAUGACGGCCCUAUGGGUUGUAAACUGCUUUUAUAAGGGAAUAAAGUGAGCCUCGUGAGGCUUUUUGCAUGUACCUUAUGAAUAAGGACCGGCUAUUUCCGUGCCAGCAGCCGCAGUAA
Molecule: ribosomal RNA, 508 nt
Filed under: uncultured bacterium
Lineage: Bacteria
Description: partial 16S ribosomal RNA
Rfam family: Bacterial small subunit ribosomal RNA
Source: RNAcentral